This 453-nucleotide ribosomal RNA is filed under the name uncultured Clostridium sp. RNAcentral's name for it is "bacterial SSU rRNA". It matches the Rfam family "Bacterial small subunit ribosomal RNA", at positions 8 to 484 of the family's 1533-position model. The record is from RNAcentral. Lineage: Bacteria; Bacillati; Bacillota; Clostridia; Eubacteriales; Clostridiaceae.
AGAGUUUGAUCCUGGCUCAGGCUGGCGGCGUGCCUAACACAUGCAGUCGAGCGAUGAAGUUUCCUUCGGGAAAUGGAUUAGCGGCGGACGGGUGAGUAACACGUGGGUAACUUGCCUUAUAGUGGGGGAUAGCCUUUCGAAAGGAAGAUUAAUACCGCAUAAGAUUGUAGUAUCGCAUGAUAUAGCAAUUAAAGGAGCAAUCCGCUAUAAGAUGGACCCGCGUCGCAUUAGCUAGUUGGUGAGGUAAUGGCUCACCAAGGCGACGAUGCGUAGCCGACCUGAGAGGGUGAUCGGCCACAUUGGGACUGAGACACGGCCCAGACUCCUACGGGAGGCAGCAGUGGGGAAUAUUGCACAAUGGGCGAAAGCCUGAUGCAGCAACGCCGCGUGAGUGAUGACGGCCUUCGGGUUGUAAAACUCUGUCUUCAGGGACGAUAAUGACGGUACCUGAGG